UGCCCUGAAGAAAGAAAGUGAAGACACGGGGCAAGUGCAAGACCAGAGGGCAGCGCAAAAGCACGGGGCAGCUGCAAGAUGCCGGGCAGGCUGCGCGUGGUGAGGGACGGUUCCCGCCGGCCGCAGAGGCGGGAAGGAGGGACCACGCCCUGAGGGAGCAGCCGCUGCCAUCUUGGCCGGUGGUGAGGGGCUGGCCCCUGCUGGUGAGCAAGUUAAGAGUCGCGUGUGGAAACUUUUGCACAGCAGUUUGGAGGCUGGGUAGAGAAAAGAUGAAGACCUCUCUCCUCAGAUGCAAACAUUUCUGAGGAAGAAGAGCGUUCCGGCUUGGCGAGAGUUACCUGCCUUGCACCCAGCAGAUACAAACAGAGUCAUCAUCUUUGGAAGAAGUUGUCACAUUGCAGUCCAGAUCUGCGAGUGGACCUGUCUUUGGUGGCAGUGGUGUCUUAUCUCCCGUGAGUUAGCAUCAGAUGAAGCUUGCUGACAGCAUAAUGGCAGGGAAAACCUCCGACGGCUCCAUCAAAUGGCAGCUCUGCUACGACAUCUCGGCCAGAACUUGGUGGAUGGUUACGGGGCUGCGCUGACCUGGAGCCAUGUGUCACAGAUCCCACUGAGCCCGGCUCACACUGCUUUGGGGCGCAAUUAAAGUUUCAAUAAAGUCCCAUCGUGCUCCGUAGAACGAGUUAACUAGCAUGUCAUGGUCAGCCGGGCCAGACAACCUUUGACAUCUUGAAUCUAUAAGAGGUAGGGUGAGUUGGGAGGAUGCACAAUAGCCCAUUGUGGCAGAAGAUGCAAGUCCUGUUGCGAGGAAGAGAGUCCUCAAAUCAUUACUGCCCUCGUUAGCGUGUUGUCCGUUAGGGAUUAAUUCGUUAGCAGCGCAUUUUUAGUUUUCUGUAAUUAUUAUUCUUGUGGCAAGCGUGAAUUCUUCCAGUGAGAGGAAAAGUUUGCUGCCAGGACAAUGAAUGUAUUAUCCGCUCCUAACUGGACCGUGAACCUCAGCUCGUUUCACAUAGAUAUCAGUUAAAAAAGGACCGGCGAGUGGAAUUACAAAACAAGGCAUGAUCACUUUCAUUGUAUGAUACGCUGAAACAAGCCGGGUCUCUCCCUCCCCCUCGCCGCCCCGGACCAAUUUUGGUAUCAUUUGGAAAGUUUAAGACCUCUGAGGACUUGAAAGACUUUUAAAAGUGAGAUCCGGAAGGUUUUUAUUCUGCAGCUUGGUGGUGGCCAUUGUGUGUAUCAUGUGGCUUGUAUUUAAAGGUGUUUGGGCUCGGGUUUGUCAGUUUUGUUUUGUCUAAAGUCUUAAUUUUUUAACCGGCUAUUAGAGGUUUGCCAGCGGUUGCCAGUGAAAUGUAACAUGCAGCUUUUGGUUAACAAGGAUAGGGGAGGCUAACCACUUUCUUAUAGUACUGAUUUUCCAAUUAGACUUUCUGCCAGGGGAAGUUGGAGGGGGAAGGGGUAUUUGCAUGCACAUAAACUGCUGACUAUUCAUGUGACUUUUUUUUAGCUUGUUAAACCCUUGUAAAUAAGACUAUUGAAUCUCAGUUAUCAUUUUCAAAGCAAAGUUUUAGCCUGCCUGUUUUAACCUCACCGUCUGUCUCGUGCUGUGAUUUUGCCUUAUUCUAAGCUAUCUGUAUAUUUUAUUACUGCUCCUCUUUUAUUGUCUAUCGGCUGCUUUUAUGAUGAGGUACGUCAAUGUUUAUUAUUUAAUAAGUAUCCUCGAAUGCUACUAGGCAGUUAUUGUCACCCUUCAGAAAGGACCCGAGGAAGUUUCAUUGCAGUCACAUUUAUUUCGCAGAUGUUUUAGUACCGUGAAUAUAAUAUGUAAAAAUGCUGGAAACAUUUAGUAAUGCACUUGCCUAAAAAUAAACAGUUUUAUAACCACACAUGCUGUUGUUUAGAUUAAACAUUGCCGAAAAGUUCUUCUUAAACUUGAACGUCACACCAUUUAUUUUCUGAGAGAACAAAACCCCCGCUAAAAUAGCCUUGUUUUUGUGGCAGGAGUUGCGCUGGAUGAAAGAGAUGUUAUUUUUAACCAAAAUGAAUAAUUCAAGAUCUUUACAAUAGAUGCGUUAAUUGCAAAUAAUUUUCAUACAAAGUUUCAAUUAUUGA
This is a long non-coding RNA of Numida meleagris (helmeted guineafowl), 2106 nucleotides long. RefSeq lists it as uncharacterized. Lineage: Eukaryota; Metazoa; Chordata; Aves; Galliformes; Numididae. The record is from RefSeq and is a predicted model, not a curated record. The transcript is spliced from 5 exons.